CCUACGGGAGGCAGCAGUGAGGAAUAUUGGACAAUGGUCGAAAGACUGAUCCAGCCAUGCCGCGUGCAGGAAGACGGCCCUAUGGGUUGUAAACUGCUUUUGUUUGGGAAGAAACCUUUCUACGUGUAGAAAGCUGACGGUACCAUACGAAUAAGCACCGGCUAACUCCGUGCCAGCAGCCGCGGUAAUACGGAGGGUGCAAGCGUUAUCCGGAUUUAUUGGGUUUAAAGGGUCCGUAGGCGGACUUAUAAGUCAGUGGUGAAAUCCUGCAGCUCAACUGUAGAACUGCCAUUGAUACUGUAAGUCUUGAAUUCGGUUGAAGUGGGCGGAAUAUGGCAUGUAGCGGUGAAAUGCUUAGAUAUGCCAUAGAACACCGAUUGCGUAGGCAGCUCACUAAGCCUGGAUUGACGCUGAGGGACGAAAGCGUGGGUAGCGAACAGGAUUAGAUACCCUGGUAGUCCACGCCGUAAACGAUGAUUACUCGACAUUAGCGAUACACGGUUAGUGUNAUAAGAGAAGACGAUAAGUAAAUACCACCGUAGGGUAAGGUACGUUCGUUCGAAGAAAGUUAGAAACGUAACAAAGGAAAGUUAGUACGGACGUUGAGACGNGCGACGGACGACGACGAGGGGAGGAGGAGG
Molecule: ribosomal RNA, 641 nt
Filed under: uncultured bacterium
Lineage: Bacteria
Description: bacterial SSU rRNA
Rfam family: Bacterial small subunit ribosomal RNA (bases 1-538)
Source: RNAcentral